This 253-nucleotide ribosomal RNA is filed under the name uncultured bacterium. Its description in RNAcentral is "partial 16S ribosomal RNA". It matches the Rfam family "Bacterial small subunit ribosomal RNA", at positions 524 to 776 of the family's 1533-position model. The record is from RNAcentral.
UACGAAGGGGGCUAGCGUUGCUCGGAAUCACUGGGCGUAAAGGGUGCGUAGGCGGAUUUUUAAGUCAGGGGUGAAAUCCCAAGGCUCAACCUUGGAACUGCCUUUGAUACUGGGGAUCUUGAGUCCGGGAGAGGUGAGUGGAACUGCGAGUGUAGAGGUGAAAUUCGUAGAUAUUCGCAAGAACACCAGUGGCGAAGGCGGCUCACUGGCCCGGAACUGACGCUGAGGCACGAAAGCGUGGGGAGCAAACAGG